Molecule: ribosomal RNA, 738 nt
Filed under: uncultured organism
Description: bacterial SSU rRNA
Rfam family: Bacterial small subunit ribosomal RNA
Source: RNAcentral
CGGCGUGGCUAAGCAUGCAGUCGUACGCGAAAGUUCCUUCGAGGAACGAGUAGAGUGGCGAAAGGGCGAGGAAUACAUGGGUAACAUACCCCCGGCACAGGGAUAGCCGCGGGAGACCGCGGGUAAUACCUGAUAUGACCACGGCAUCUUAUGAUGCAGCGGUAAAAGGGUGGGGACCUUCGGGCCUACCGGCCAGGGAGUGGCCCAUGUCCUAUCAGCUUGUUGGUGAGGUAACGGCUCACCAAGGCGACGACGGGUACCGGGGCUGAGAGGCUGAUCCGGCGCAUUGGGACUGAGACACUGCCCAGACUCCUACGGGAGGCUGCAGCGACGAAUAUUGCACAAUGGGCGCAAGCCUGAUGCAGCGACGCCGCGUGUGGGAGGAAGCCCCUCGGGGUGUAAACCACUGUCAGGGACCACCAAGCGACCCGGGCGAAUAGUCCGGGAAGUUGAGGAAUCCCAGAGGAAGUCACGGCUAACUUCGUGCCAGCAGCCGCGGUAAGACGAAGGUGGCAAGCGUUGUUCGGAAUCACUGGGCUUACAGAGCACGUAGGCGGAUUGUCAAGCACUUUGUGAAAUCCCUCGGCUUAACCGAGGAAUUGCUUGGUGAACUGGCAGUCUUGAGGCAGGUAGAGGCACACGGAACUCUUGGUGGAGCGGUGGAAUGCGUAGAUAUCAAGAGGAACGCCAGAGGCGAAAGCGGUGUGCUGGGCCUGACCUGACGCUGAGGUGCGAAAG